GAGGCGCAUGUGAAAUUCGUCUCUGGUUAAAGCUUCAUCAGUGUUUCGAAUGUGCAUUGAGCCUGUGGUGAUGACCUGAUAGUGAUUCUUGGUCUCUUACGUGAGCGGAAGUUCAUUACUCGAAGUGCAUGCCACUUAUUCGAUGAAAUGUCUGAGUGAAAGCAUAAUGCAUGUCCUCUGAAGGCAUGUGUUAAUGUGAUUUGGUGGAAAUUGAUGUGAAAUUCGUCUCCUUUAAAAGCUUUAUCAAUGUCUCGAAUGUGCAUUGAAGCUGUAGUCAUGACCUGAUAGUGAUUCUUGGCCUUAUUAUAUGUGAGCGGAAGUUCAUUACUCAAAGUGCAUGCCACUUAUUCGAUGAAAUGUCUGAGUUAAGUCAGAAUGCAUCUUCUCUGAAAGAAACAAGUUCAAGAAGGCAUGUGUUGAUGGGAUUUGUGUGAGAUAAGCGGAUUCUUUAAAUAUUAAACCUGAUUUGGAUGUGCAAUGAGGUACCUGAUAGUCUUCCUGAUCUUUCUCCAUCCUGAUUUUCUAUCUCCCUUGUCGGAUCCUGCUUUGAAUUUAGUAUGGCGAGAAACUGGGCAGAGCUCCCACCAGAGUUGUUACAACUAUGCUCCCAGCGCCUUUGUCCAAAGAAUUUAUCGGCGUUCCGAGCAGUGUGCCGUUCGUGGCAAUCUGCUGCCCUCAAAGAGAGGAGCGAUGUCCCAUGGUUGAUGCUCACAGACAAAAAGGGGAUGCUGUGGCGUGAGUUUUUCUGCCUCUCAUGUCAGCAGGUUCACAAAAAGUUCUUGCCGGAAAUGAUGGCGAAUGGAUAUUUCUCUUCGCGAGGUUGGGUGUUGAUGACCAGCAGAGACUGGGAAUUCCGCAUGCUAAAGACUCCCAUGUCGCGUUACAGUCAUAUUAUUAAGCUUCCCAAUUGGAAUAAGUUCCCCAACAUCGAAGAUUUGCCUUUCUUUGAUGUUGAAUUCGUCCGUAAGUUCGUCCUAUCUGAUAGCCCUACUACAUCUCCAGAUUACAAGGUCAUGGUCAUUUAUGACAAUGGACAGUUAGGGCUUUGGAAACCUGGCGAAGAGGAGUGGACGGCAGUGGACUCCCCCACAGAUGAAAAAAAUUACGAUGUCAUAUAUUAUAAGGGGUCCUUUGUUGCUGUCGAUUUUGAAAAUAGGAUAUUGAGGUGCGAUGUUGAUGGACCAACUCCAUUUGAGGCUCGAGUAGUUUUCCAGAUGCCGCAAAGACUCCCAGAAUUCAAGCAUGAGUAUCCCCCAGGAUCCCUUUGGUACGUGAAUCAAGUGUAUCUAGUGCAAUCAACAACGGGAUCUCUGUUGUUUGUGUCACUACAGGAACAAGUAGCAUCUACCAUAACCUUUCGAUUCCGUGUUCUCGAGAUUGACCUGGAUACUCAAAUGUGCACAGAAGUUGAGAACUUGGAGAACACGUCCCUCUUCUUGGGCCACAAUUCUUCCUUCUCUUUGGAAGUCGAUGAAGAUCAUCUCAUCAAGCCGAAUUGUAUUUACUUUACUUACGUUCGUCUCUCAUCGUCCCAGUUUUUUGAAGAUGGAGGAGACACAGGCAUGGGAAUAUACCACCUCAAAGAUGGUAUGGUCGAGCUGCAUGUCGAGGGGAAAUCUUCUCCUUUGCUUUGGAUCGAACCAUGCUUUUAAGCCAUAGCUAAAAAGUUUGGCUUGUUAACACUGAUGAAGUAAGCAGAUUAGUGAAAUGACAGGAUAGAUACACGGUUGGUACAGAAAGUUAGCAAUUCCUUUUAUGAACACGAAAUUGUUAGGUCAUUGGAAGUGAAAUUGUACUGAAAUUUGAAUUUGUGCUUUUGAUACUUCGAAUUUUACAUCUAGUGAUGACAUCUGGGUGUUUUCUUUCUAUUGUUUUAUCUCUUCUGCUGCCUUGCAUGAUAUAUCGUGUUGGUUCUACACAAAAAACAAAAUCGAGUGAAGGCAAAACAUAGGGUUUGAACUUUGAACAGGGAAAAACAAUGGAGGGUCGAAAAUAUAUUGACUCAUUAAGUGUGGUUAACUAUUUUUCUUCUCUUUUAUACAUUAGGGCCUUAUAUUUUCGAGUGAACAAUAAAAAGAAUUCUACAAGAACCUUGGUCGCAUUAAAGAGGGGAAUGAUUUAACUGUAUUUUCUGAAUUUCUACACUGCACAUUUCAAGUGACAUACAUUUUCGAGUAAACAAUGAAAAGCAAAUCAUUAUGGACAGUGAAAUUAGUAAAUAUCGAUGUUGUCAAUAAGCAUCUCUCCAAUCUCAAAUGAUUGAUUGCAAUAUUUAUAUAUUUGAUUCGAUGAGGAUUUUGUGUUUCGCUUCUUUUCGUAUAAGCUAAGUUCUAGCUGUUAAGUGUAAAUAUCCAAGGAUCUGUUAAGGCUUCCUCCACCAAUUGGAGCUGCAAACAUGAACGCAGGUUAGGGCAUCCGAGGUGAUUGCCUGAAUUGGCCCUCGGAUGCCUAAGUCGUAGUUUGGAGUAUGGCGGAAACUUAUGAAGCUAUAGGGGUAAAGAGUUCUUGUCCGUUGGGUGAGGAUCGAUAGAUGAUGACCAAACUGUAAGCAUCAAUUGGUUAUAACUAAUGGCAAUAUAUCAUGACAACUAUAAUAGAUCAUGACAUGUGAUGGUCUAACCGUCCACAGAGAUAAUAGAUGCUCAGUCUUUUAAUAAUUCCUCCAAAAGAAUAGCUUAAGUGGAGGUCUUAUUGCCAAGUUGACCGGUCUUGACUCGGUCUUGACUCAAAACCCAAGUUGCAUCCUUUCUUAAUCAUUCCCAUUGAGUAGGAUUACUGUUAGCAGGCGGGGUCACCAUGGACACUUGACGGUCUAGUGGCUUGCCAAAUCCAUCAUUAUUAGAAACAAUAAAAAAUCAUUCAUUGAUGACAUUAGAGUGAAGUACUAGAGAGAGAAAGAGAGUUAAAACAUAGAUUAUGGAUUGUCAACAGCAAAUCUUGUUGAUUAAUAUUUGUUUUAGUCAGAAUAGUCAAAUAGUAUUUUAUAUAACUAAUAACAGCAUGACCCACGAACUGCUCUCUACCUUAUAUGAGCAUCAGCAACAGGAGAUGAAACUCGCUCUCUCCACCAGCUAAACUUAUGCAGUCACAAUAGAAACUCUAAAACCCAAAAGCUUCUCCUCUUCAUUGUCCUCACUUUCAAGAAACACGAACUACGCUUAUGGAAAUCGCAAUGCACAGAUGCUCUCACAAAUUAUGUCCUAAAAUUGAGGAAUAGCAGGUUAACGUUGGAUGCCUAUUUGGUAGACCUAGAAUUUUCUCAAAAAGAAAAGGAGUGCAAAACAUAUGAGCAUGAGUGUGCUCUCCACUUAUUAUGAUACUAAUUAUGCGGAAAUAGCUACUCAUGCACGAGAGUCUUACAUUUGAUGGAAAGCCUUUGAUCAUUUUGUUGUUGCACCACAAACAUGAGAAUAGGGGUGUGUGUGCAACCGGACCAGGUAUACCAAGGAACCGAACUGGUCCACGCAGAAAAUAGGGUUGGGAAUCGGUUCCCAAAAUUUAGAAUUGGUUUGAAGCGGUCUGAGAACCGGUUCUCGGACUGGUUUUGGAAUCAGUUUUGUAAACAGAGGUCCAAAAUCCUUUUUUUUUUUCCCCUGAUUUUUAUUCUCACUCCCACAGUCGAAAUGCGUUUUUCUUCUUGGCUCUCUCAGACAUGCACGGCGCUCCUCCUUUGUCGUUCCUCUUCCUCCCUCGCUUCCCUCCCUCAUCAGCUCCCUCUCGCAACAUCUGAUGGAUGGAUAGCAUCCGUCACCGCCAAAUUCAUGUGUAUCACGUGGAUUGGCUCGCCUAAUUUUUCUUUUGGUGGAAGAGUUAUGCUUGCAGUAGAGAUUUGUUAACCGUUUUAGAUAAAUAAAGAGCUUCAUAUAGUAGUUGUGGGAAUGAGACUAAUAUUAGACCUAUAUUUGUUGCUAAUGUUUAUGUAAUGUUAUGAUUUUUGCUUUGCCUUAUGAUUUUAUUUAUGAUAACUAGUCUUGUGGAUUCUUAAUUUUUCAUUUAGUCAAAAAAUUUAUUUACUUAUUGAUUACAAGUACUUAAUGUUUCAAUAUAAAUUAGGAGGAUUAUAUUAUUUUCUUGUGUAUUAAUGUAAACUCGAAGCUGUAUAGGAUAUCGGAUGGUUGCAAAACAAGUUUAAGUGAAAACAUGGUUGACCUUGGAAUCGAACCGGAAAAAUAGGGUGGGUCAGGUAUAGGGUCCAAUACAAACAGGGUCGGGUACAAGGUCCAAAAAAGGGAGAAUCGAUUAUAAUAGAGUCGGGUAUAGGGUCCAGGUCUAGAUCUUACCCACUUUAGACCCAAGCACCCCUACAUGAGAAUGCAAGGGACCUUCCAGUCACCUCUUGUUGACACCUCAAUUUUAAUUAAGUCUAUCUUAUUAAUUAAGUUUUUAUUUAUCUUGUCUUUUUUCGGAAUAAUAAACAAAUAAAAGAAAACAAAAAUCAAAAACAAAACAAAAGCAGAAAGAAAGCAGGAAAGCCCUCGCAUGGGCCCGCGAGGCCCAUUUCCGUGUCAGCCCAGCCCAGCCAGGUCUUCUUCUUCCUCGCGCAGUUACAGCGCAUGCGCAGAGGGCGCGACGCCGGAGCGGAGGGGAGGAGCAGCAAUGACGCACAUGGAGUAGAGGGCGGUUGGCAUCGGAUAAGAACGUGGGAGGGGCAACUGGCAUCGGAUGGGACGCCGGUUCGGCCGGCGGGGACCGCUUGGCGCGCGGGGACCGGUGGUCGAAGCUCCGUCGACCGGUUGCCCCCUCGCCUAUAAAUAGGCCCCCGUUUCCGACAGCGAAGGGCACGCCGAGAAGGAUCGAAGGCUGCAGAUCCUCGAAACCUCCCACUGAGAGACUUCAGAACGGGGGGCUGAGGACGAGCACGCCGAGAUCCAAGGUCGGCCAGAGAAGUGAGCGCAGAGACGCGCAGAGGAAGGAGAAAGGGAGAGGGAUCGAGGUCGCGACCCUUGGACACCCCACUGAGAGACUUCAGGGGGGCCGGGGGGCCGGGGGCUCGCGGCUUCGGAUCUGGGCUUCGCCGGAGUAGAGACAGAGAGAGAGAGGGACGCCGGAGAAGAGGAGAUCCGCGUGGGUCUCGCUGUCGUGCCGCCCCCGUCGCGCCGUUGCCACGAACAGGUAUCGUGAUGUCGCCGUCGCCAUCUCCCUCUCCGUAGUCCGGUCACCGUUGCCGUCGCCGUUGUCGCCUUCGUCGUCGCCGCUGUAGUCGCCGUCACCGACAAACACCUCGGUUUCCCACCUCGGUUUCCCCCCUCGGCGCCGUGGAUUCGCAAACCCUAGGGUUUGCGAUUUUCCGGGUCGCCGAGUCGGAUCCGGGUCUCAGAGCCGGGUAGGGUUUCGCGAGAUUCAGGGGCGGCGGGAGUCGGGUCGCGAUUCGGGUCGGAUCCGGGUAGGGUUUACGGGGAGUCGGGUCGUGGAGCGGGCUGUCGGGCCGGGCUGGAUCCCUCCCAAAACGACGGGCCACGACGCCGUUUCAGCAAAAUAAAAAAAUAAAAAAAAUAAAAAAGCCGAAAAAUCCGAGUCGGGCCCGCGUUUGGGUCGCCGGCCCGGGUCGGACCUAACGCGUGGAUCCGACCCGGGCCGGUUUUGUUUUAUUAUUUUAAUAUAAAAUAAUAUUAUAAUAAAUAAUAAAUAAAUAAUUUAUUUUCAAAAAAAAAAUCAAAAAUGUUUUAAUUUCCAGAAAAUCGAAAAAUAUUUAAAAAUAUCGAAAAAUGUUUUAUUUUCUAAAAAAUCGAGAAAAAUCAAAAGAUAAUUUAUUUUCCAAAAAUAUAAAAAAAUAUUAAAAAAUAUUUUAUUUUUCGAAAAAUAAAAAAAAAUCAAAAAUAUUUCAUAUUUUCCAAAAAAAAAGCCAAAAAUUCAGAAAAAGCCAAAAAGACUUGUAUUUUUCCAAAAAACCCCCAAAAAAAUCCAUUUUGUGUCCAAAAAAAUUAGAAAAUGACUCAAAAAAUGUUUUUCCUCCCAAAAAUGCAUGGAAAAUCUCUCAAACAUCCAAAAAGCCUUAGGGUUUAAACAAGAUUAGGUACCGAAAGGGCAUUAGUGAUUAACUAGUGUAAUCAAGUCCCCGAUCCUAAUUUCUCUGGUUGCGCAGGAGCGAGUAUUUCUCCCGAUACUUCGCUUGGGUUUCUAAUCGACCCACUCCAAAUCGAUUAGUGGCGACUCCAUUUUAAAAUUAAUUUAUAGGUUAAAAACUUAAACUAUUAAAGUCGUGAAUUGGUGGACUUGGGAGAGUCCGGGCUUAAUAAAUUCAGCCAAGCCAUUAGCCUCCUUAGGCGCCCGUACCCGAUUGCGAGCGCCAGAAAAAAAGAGGUCACUUCACCUCUCUGUCAUGAAAGCAACCAAAUUAGGUGUUUACCUAAGGCAAUGUUCAUGAAAGUCAACUGCUUUGUCUUAUAUACCUAUUGUCUAGAUUAUUCUUUAGGUAUAAAAUUGUCAAUUGCAUCUCUCUAGCACUUGCAUGUCAUCUAUUUCUGAAUAGAACAAAAGGAGGGAAAGUGCAACAGAACAGUAUGUAGAAGUCUUAUGCAAAAUCCCUUCAAUUAGCUGACACAUACAAGGAAGUGACAAAACGAAGGAACUCACUUAAAAGCAGUACCUCUCAUUGAUGUGCAUAUUUUUUUAAGUGUGUAACCUAUAUCAAUUGUGUGAAGUACCCAAUCACACCAAUGCACGCCCAAACUUGCACAUCGGUAAGGACUAAAAAAAUAUCUUAGUUCUCAAACUAGUGGUAAAAGUGAAGCAACAUUUACACAAGAAGAACCUUGAAAACAAGUCCUCUUUAUUACUUGGUUUACCAGUGGAUGCAAGGCAAAUAAACAAAUUUGCUUAACCGAUUAUUACGAUAACCACUAAAUUGCGGCCAAGGACUUCACUUUCAUGGCACUCAUCAGUCACCAUGAUAGGUGGGUUAUCCAAAGCGAGUCAAUCAAGCAUAAUGAUUUGCAAGGAAUAACAAACCUGUAAAUGACAUAGCUUGUUUCGGUUUCUGCUUAUAAAUCCACGGCCAACCUUCAAGAGAUAUCUAUAGCAGCUAGUUUAUGUUAAAGCCUUUUGACUCGAUCCUAUGGAAAUAGGAAUAAGAAAAGGUUAAAAAGGAAAAAAAGAAAAAGAAAAAAAAAAGAGAAGAGUCAGAAGUUGUCACUGAAUUUUGAAUUGACUCAUCACGGCCAAAUUAUAAAUACAACUUUUACAAGUAAAUUUCAAAUCAGAGUGUUCAGAUAUGGUCAUAAAACUAUCACUAGUACUCAUAUCAUAAUGAUGAAAGAAUAGAAAAACCUCUGAGAACUACAACUCAUAUAAUCAAAAGAUGAUCCUUAAUAGCAGAAAUACACCUUUUAACUAGAUGUCCACUCACAGUAUACACUGUAAAUGAGAGCUUCCAAAAAUUUGACACUGAUAAACCGACAAUAUAAGAAACUAGAGAGUAACUGCAUUGGUCAAACUUAGCAAGUAAAGCAUACCUUGAAUGAUUUGGAACGAUGAAUGGAGGGAUUUUUCUAUAUGGACAGGGAAUAGGAUUUGUGACAUCCCGAUUUUCCAAUUCUAUUUUCAAUAAAUUGAGACGGGCAUUUCGUUGACACGCAUAUAGUUCUUUUCCUUGAGUCGGCCACUCAUGUGAAAACUAGUCUAUCAGGUGAAGCCAUUAAGAGAUUCUAAUGCAUCAGACUCAAGAAUUUGACUAGGAAGCGACCUUUCGACCGAGCUAAUUUGCAAGGGUUAUUACGGCACAAUUAAAAAUCGAUUAGAGACUGGAGAUAGGUCGACUCGACAGAGGCAUGUGAUCAAGUGUGGGUGAUUCCACAAGAUCACACAAUUCUUGUCGAUCGACACUAGACCGGCUUUUCUAUUGUUUGGGUACCAUGUGUGUGUGUUUGAAACCUUGAGAUUAUCCUGACAACCGAGAGUCGCCAAUGUGUCAAAGAUGUACAUUGUGGCUUGAAUUGAUCAACCACGGGUCAAAUGCACGAAAAUUUCUAAAAGCUACCCGGUAGAUCAAGAUGCGCUAAUAUCGUGCCAAAGUGAAAUUAACCGUGAAAUUGAGAUUGAAUUCAGAAAUUGGAAGUCAUGGUGUGUCACAAAUUAUUUUAGGAACAUUAACUCAUCUUCGGAAGAUUUUUCAUGUAAGCCGAGUUUUUCAGCAAAAUAAUUAGAGAAUGGCUAAUUUGACUCAAGAAAUUAGUAGGCUCGCAUUUGGUCGCGCUUUUGGGACUUAAGUUGGUUCUACGGACAAGUGAAUAUGUGAAUUGAAGUGUGGUGACAUUUGAUUAAUUUUAUGGACUUCAAUUGGACUCAAUUGGAAGAGAAUUGAAUGUAAUUGAAGAAAUUAAUGUACAAGAUUUUAUGCCCCGGCGGAAAAUGAAAUUUGCACCCAUUGGAAGAGGUUGUGGAGGAUUGAGUUAGUGGAGUAUGACAUCACUUGGUGAUGUCAUGGUGUGGGGCAAGAGUGGCUAGGAUGUUGACAAGUGGAGGGUGAGGAUUUGCUCUUGGAAAGGUGGGCUAUUACCAUCAUCUUCUUCCUUGAAUCAAGGGAGCUUGUUGGGUUUUGAAAAGAGGAGAGAGAGAGGAGCUCGAUCGGUUGGACCAGCAGCCCCGAUGCCCCCUUCGUUCGCCUCCUUUGCUCGCUCGACACCGCCGCUUGUCGCCGGAGCCGUCGCCAUCGCGGUCGUCACCCAUCUGCAUGCGCCUCGUCGGCCAGCUCGUCGUUCCGCCGUAGCUUGAGCGCCCCCGAGCUUCCAUCAUCUUCGUCAGCCGCUGUUCUUGGUCGUCUAGCUCGUCGGAGAGCCACCGUGAGCCAGCCGAAGCUAGCUUGCCGCCAGUGCCACUUCUCCUCCGCUUGCACGAUCGGCCGACUCGCGCUCGACUCAGCCACUGCUAGCGCGACCAGGACCUUGCAGCUCCGUCAUCCGCCUCUGUCCUUGGUCGCUAGCCACCACCGGAGGUCUUGCUUGGCCGCCGAAGUCAUCGCUUCCACUUGAACGAGCUGCCGCCGCUCGUUUCCGCCGGUCCCGCGCCCAAUUGGUGACCAGAGCACCCUUAACCAACAAGGAGCAGCCACCGGAGUUCCAGCCCUAGUCGGAUCUUCAAGGCCUGUUUUGGGUGUCUUCCAGUCCUCUUUUGGCGUCGCCCCGAGGAGAUUUGUCGACGGCCUCGCCAUCCUCUUCGCCGAGGACUCGUCGAAAAGCGAUUCCAGUGAAUUUAGCUCACUAAAUCUUGAUUAGAUGGUUAAUGAUGCCCUAAGUGUGCUUAGUCUAAGUUAAGUAAGUUUAGGUGGUUAGAUUAAUUUAUUUGGUUGAGGAUUAGAUUAGGGUGUUUAAUUAAGUUAAAGUGUGUUUAGUUUAAAGCUAAGUAGGUUUAUUUUAAUAUAAGCCUUGAUGUGACAUAAUAUGUUUUAUUUUUUAUUUAUUUAAAUGUUUCGAAAUUCUGGAAUUUUUAAUAAUUUAUUAUAUUCCGAAAAUUAUUUAAAAUAAAUAAAUAAAUAAAUAAAUUCAAAACAAAUAUUUAUGACCUCAAUUGCUCAGAAUUUCGUGCUGAUCGCUGCUGUGUAUUCGGAUUUUGAAAUUGAUGGGUGGAUAUUAUAAAUUGAGUGUGGAUUGUGAAAAAUAUAGAUAUUAUUAAUUAAUUAAUUUUCGGAAUAAAUUUAAUUAUUUAAUAAAUUCUGAAAAUUAUUUCGGGACUCUAAAUUCUCAGAAUUUCACGCUGAUCGCUGCUGUGUAUUUAGAUUAUGAAUUUAAUGAUUAGAUAUUGCAAAUUGAGUGAUGAUUUGUGCAAUUGAUUAUUGAAUUGUCGUGUGCUGGUUGAAAGAUUCGAUCGCAGUAGUGGCUACGCCAACUGGACCUUUAUUCCUUUAGAAAUGCCGUCAAUAGAGUGACGUGGCUCGGGUCACAGUAGAGGCUAGGCCAAUUGGACCCAUGCUCCUUCGGGAAUGCCGUCGACGUAGUGACGAAGCCGCGCUCCAAGGGGGAGGCAAUGUCUGGCAUUAAUGUCAGUAGAUAGCCGAACUGUGAGUAGGCUAUGCCCUUGAGUGUCAGUGAAUAAUAAUUGGAAUGCGUGCUAAGUGCGAUUGCGAUUUAUAUGAAAGUGAUGGCGUUCCCAUUUGUUUGAAUUAUUAUUACUACAUGAGAUUGUGUGAUACAAAUUGUGCUAAUCUGCAUGAACGAAUUAAGGCGAGGUAAGUCUUCUGUGUGAUGUGGCUAGGCCACUCAGGGUGUAUUUUCUUUCUAAUAGGGGUUUAGGGGGUUGAACUUGCUGAGACAAUGUCUCAUCCCGGUUGUGGGAGUAAAAUUUCAGGUCCUUGGUGGACGGAGCGGCCAGAAAACUUUGGUUGGCUUUGAGGAGUUGCAGAGGUGAAGUCAUAAGGAUUUCAGAACGUGUCCGACUUGUAGGUCGUAGGACAGUUCCUUUUUAAGAGCCGAUCUUUUGUAGACUUUUGGCCGUAGACCUCUGUUUGUAAUUCUGUUAAAUUAUAAAAGUGUUAUGUUGUGGUUUUGCUUCCUGCUUUUCUAUCCCGUAUUUCAUUGUCAGGGGUUUUAUAAUACGUUCCGUUUGCGCAAUAAUAAAUGAAUGCGGUCGGCGACACUACCUGGAAAUGUCGCAUUUGCAUGACCAUGGUGGGAUGUUGGCGCGCUCGAGGUUCGGGACGUGACAGGACUUCUCAACUUCAUCAAACUGUUCCACUGCCAUGAGAAAAUGCCCUUGACAAAUAUAAGCUAGAGGAAGGAAAGAACAUUGGCUUUAGAAUUAUAACAAUAGCAAAAAUUCUCACUGAUAUAUGGAUCUCUCUUUCCCUCUCUAUUUCCGGUCCAAAACCACUGAUGAGAGCAAGUACCCAGGUCUCUAAUACCUAAAACACAAAAUUCGGUAAUCUUAAGGUUAUUUAUUAAUGGAGUAUUGCAUUUUAAAGAAAGAGAAUUCUCCCAUUUCUUGAGAUCAUGGGCACGGUGCAAUCGUAAAGGUUUUAGAAAAUCUGGAAAAGAGACUGUGUUCUGAUUGCUCGAGAAGUAGGUCAGACCCUUUACUACUUAACACAAUCUAGACGUUAAAUCAUGCACAUGCAGUAAAUUACUUGAAUCUCGUUACCUAAAUAGCCCUUGGCCCGUCUCCUUCCCCUUUUUCUCCCUAUUAGUGAAAUCAUAAGAGACUACAGGUUCCGUUUUUAGAUUUAUUCCUGAGGUCAAGUUGUUGACGCUUCUUUUGCAUCUUAAAGAGCCCAACUAGAGUUGUCCAUUCCCAACCUCACAACAGACCUGAACAAAACAUAAACCUCUAAUCGAUAAUUCUUCAAGAACCCAACUAUAGUUGCACAUCCCCAACCUGACAACAGACUUGAAUGAAAGUUUAACCUCUAAUUCAUAAAUCUUCAGACCUGAAUGGAGCUCAAACCCCUAAUUCAUAAAUCUUCAAGAGCGGCACUAUAGUUUCACCUUCCCACCUUUUCAGCAACAACGUGGGUUAUAUAAUCAAAAUGAAAUGUUAACAUGAAUCUCUUAUUCAUCCACAAAGGCGCCACAUUUAGCGCAAACUCAUUCACAUCAUUAGCAAAAUCAACACUUACACCUUGCCAACUACAGUAAAGGGGUAAACUCUCAUCUUGGAAUAAUUGUUACGUAGUGGUGACAAACCUAGAAAGUUCACCAUCAAACUGUGGCAAUAUGUAGAAAAUGGGAAGAAGGGCACCUAGAGUUGGCAUAAAGGGACAAUUAAGUGUCAAAAGUUAUGAAAGUAAUACUUAAAUGUCACUUUUUUUGAAAAAUGAGACAUUUGAGUGCCAAGUUUGACGAAGGUGGCCAGAAAUCUUACGUGACAAUUUUUUAAUAAUAUAACUCGCUUACGUGACACGCUGGAGAGUUGAACCAGCAAUGAGUCACCAAAAUGACAUCGUCUUGUCUUUUUUAUUUUAUUUUAUUUUAUAAUUUCAAUAUAAAUAUUUGAUGAGGUUGGGCCUUAGCUAGGGCCAGUGACCCAAUCGACCGAUGAUGAGGGCCUAUGAGCCCUAGCUUGAUUUGGGGGAGGACUGCGACCCUUGCCCCAGACUUGGGUGACAGCUCAUAGGCCCUCGCCGUCAAUCGAUCGAGGUCAUCAAGCCUUGACUAGAGGGCUCGCAGGCCCUCACCAUCGAUUGAUCAGGAUCGCCAGCCCCUGGCCAAAGCUCGGCGACCUUGGCCAACCCUUCCUUGCCAUCGCCGACCUUUCCUAACAAAGGUGGGGGCCCUCACUGCUUGCAACCUCCAUCUUCCUCUCUUUUUUUUUUUCUUAAAAUAUAAAUUUGGUUUUAAAUUUUAUUUAAUUGAUAUUUUUAUUAAUUAUAUAUCCAUUUCGGUAGCAAAACGAUGUCGUUUUUGCACUCGUCUAGCCACAUCAACGUGCAAAACGACGUCGUUUUGCACUUAUAUCACUGGAAAAUUGCCUUGUCCAUAUUUUGACAAGAUUUUCUCGACUUAACUAAUCAAUUUUGCUCCGAUUUUACCACUUAAGUGUCCAUCCGUGCUAAGUUUUGGCAUUUCAAGUGAUAUUUUCUCAUAGAAAAUAUCUCAACCUCAGACAAUAGGAAUUGAUGGACCAACCUAUCUUUACACAUGGCAUUGAUCCCACCGGCCUCAUUGCUAUAAGUUUACAACCCGCGUAACAAAGGAAAAACCGUCUUUACCGUUCCUCCAUCUGCUACAGGAUCAACUGCGGUCUACUCAAUCGUUUGAAAAAAGGACCAUGCACUUAUUCUCUGAUCUCUAUAAGCAAAUGCUCCAAAAUAAGCAAAACCAACCCAAUUCAUCCACCAGUUAACCCGUGACAUACGACCGUUCCCAAACAACACCGAAUUACAGCCAAACACGCGUCAACCAGAACCUACUUGAGACCACGGCAUCGAAGAAACGCCCCCUUUCCAGUUCGCUCUCGGCUCUCUUCCUCAGCACGAGUGCCUCCAGGCUUCCCAACAUGUCGUUGUUGGCGUCACAGAAGAUCCCCGGUGCCAUGGUGGCUGACGGUGACGCACUUUGGCAGGAGGGCGGGGUUGGGACUGGAGUCGCACUGGCCCAAGCAACCGCGGGUCUUGACGGCGAUGCCAAGCGGGGCGAGGCCGGAGAGGGCCUCCAGGGUUAAGGUGAGCUCCAUCAUAUCCUCCUCCAGGCAAGGAUGGUGGUGUCACAGCCGUUUCUAGCCUAAGUCAAUGCAUUUUCCUAAAUCAUAUGCUGUUUCCUUGACCUCGGCAGGGUCAGCAUUUGGAAAAAUACUUUAUACAGUUGACUUUUUAUUAUUCUGAGAGCAGCGAAUGAUACGAAUAACUUAUAUAUACAUGUAUAUAAUGACAGGACAAAAAUUCCUUUACCUUUAUUUUCUAAAAAGGUGAGAACGAGCUGCCAAUGCUGAUAACUCUCUUUGGACAAAAUCAAAAAGUCUCACAUCCAUUACGAAAUGUCGGAUUAAGCAAUAGUUAUCAUGUACCACUCAUGGCCUAAAGAAACAAGAUUGGCCAGCCUUUACCAUAGGGCCACUAAUAUGCUAACUGCAGAUUCCUCAAUACUAAGUAUGCAGUAACUAAGUAAUGCAGCAUGAUCGUUUAGAGGUUUGUCCACGAUGCGAAUCGCACUUAUGACUUUGUUGAAAACAGGUGACUCUUUUAUGACUAAAUCAACCACCUUAUAGGUGACUGACUUGUGAGAUUUUAGUUUGGUCUUUUUGCUUAGAGCAAAUGGGACCUUAAAAACUUAAGUUGUCGUCGUACUCGUGACUUCGUCGAAGAUGUGUGACCUUUCCGCAACGAGAUCAACCACCUUAGAGGUGAUCGACUUGUGAGAUUAUAGUAUAGUCUUUGCUAAGAGCAAAUGGGAGAUUAAAAGCUUACAUUGUUAGAGAAAUAUGUGAUUUAAAUAUUCUAAUGUGAAAAUAUUUCAUUUGAGAGUCAAAUAGGAGCUUUGGAAAUUUGAACUAAGGACUCUUUCUCCGAUAUGAUAUGAGAUUUUAUGGGAUCGGUGUUGACUACUCUAAAAACUUAAAAUGUCAUAUUAAAAUAUGAUUUAAUAUUUAAAUAUUCUAUCAUGAAUUUCAUAUGAUUUGGCUAUAGAUACUUAACCAUCCAAUUUUAUGAUUGAAUCACUAAAAGGAUUUCUGUGAAAAGGAAAACAGAGAAAGAUUUUUUUUUUUUUAAUAUAUCAUAAUGCAAUUGCCCAAAUCAUUAUAGUCUCUUUGAAUGGUGGAGUGGUGUUCGUGCAUCAUUUCUGAUGGGAACUAACAUGAGUUCUUUUGUUGACGGUGAUCUUGUGCACAUUGCAACUGGUCACUCAUGUUUAGAUUGAGAUCACACCUUGAAUCUUAAAAGUAGCACUAAUCAUUAACUUGCAAGUUGCGCUGGAUUAAAGCUAAAGUUCAUAAGUAAGAAUAACUUGUAUAUCAAACUUAACAGACAUGUCAAUUAUAUCAUGGUUUAAAUUUUUGACCUACAUCUGUUAUUAGGUGAUGCCUUUUGUACUGUAUAAACCUGUGUUAACUGCUAGAGUUUUUGCAGUGGGGAUUUUAUUUCCUUACAAUUGACGAACAAUAAGAAUGUUGUAAGUUUUUUGUUUUUUGUUUUGGUAAGGUAAGUGAUAUAUUGACUUUUAACCAAAACUAUACAAUAGAAGGAUCUCGGUAUUAUAAAACUUACACUCAUGCUGACGAACAUGUCAAAACGAGUGGAAGGGUGUCGAGAAAAAAGGAAAGAAUCAAUAGCCAAACAAUAACAAACAACCAACCAACCAGCAUUGGACAACAACCAAAAUUUUGGCAACAAAGGAAAGAAACAAGGACAGGAUGGCUAGACAGCAACAACGGCCUCCACCUAGUAAGGAACAGGCGCCCAACGUCGAUGAUCCUUGAAACGCGGCAGAAACGGGAACACUGAAGGAAACUGGAACCAGCUCCCCACUUCACUCCACGCAUCUAACCGCAACCUAGAUAACGUCAACCCUCAAACUACUAGGGAAGACUAGAAACCUAUCAAGAGAAAAUGGAGGGAUCGAGUCCCCAACUGCACUGAAUCCUCAUGUUUCUUGGCGUAUCCGCUACCUGGUUGAAAGUUGAAGCCUUGUCCUUAACGACUCUGGACAAGUGGUUCUUCAAGGCAGGUAGGAAGAGGGCAUGACUCUGGAAGAAAAUAUUGUUCCUUGUCUUCCAAAUAAGGUGACAAAGAGCACCAAAAGCAAACCGGGCAAUGCAAUGGGAGAAGUCGUUGCCAGAUAUAUGUUUAAUGGUCCAUUGUAAGUUUUUUGUCUAGGACCUGUUUUGCCAAGAAAGAUUGCACUUCGUAGCCCAAAAUGCAGCAAGAGAAGCAGUAACAUGACAACCAAAAAAUAAGUGAUCAAUCGAAUUAGGUGUGAGAUUGCAAAAUGCACAAGAACCCUCAGCAAUCCUGCCAUUAGAAAGUAAGAAGACCUGGGUAGGUAGCCGAUUUUUGGUGAUGAGCCAUAAGUGAAACCAGUACCAUGGAGAUAGAGAAGAGUUCCAUAUAAAAGGAUAUCAAUGGACGAGAUUUCUCUUCGGAUGGAUUGCAUCCCAAGCUGAAGCAAUCGAGAAGAUCCCUGAAGGGUGCUCCGUCCAAAUGAACCAAUCAGGACCUGCGAGAGGGUCGGAAGAGGGAGCAACCAAACAAGAUAGCCUUAGUGGUGUUGCCUUGAGGAGAAAACAGAUCUGCAACCGAAGCCCGCCUAGGAAGUCCAGACCGAUAGAUGAAAGAAUUUGAGAAAAAAUAGUUCAAUGGACCCCUAGGGCGUUAGGGGUUGAACCAGAGCGAAACCGAGAGACCGUCUCCAACACGCCAAGAAAACAACUUCUGACAGACCUUUCUUAGAUAAGGAGUUUCCUCCAAGCCCAAGAACAAAAAGUUGGUUUAGAAGCAACCCACAAGUUAUUGUUCUUUAAAUAGGUAGCAUGUAUCCAUUUGCACCACAUAGAUUAUUUAUUAGUGAAGGGAAUCCAGAUGUGCUUAAACAAAGCCGCAUUAUUGCAAUGCCGGAGCUUGCGAAUACCUAAUCCUCCUUCUUUUGGGAGGCACACUUCAUCCCAAGCUACUUUUGCACCCCCGUUACCAAGACUAGGACCUUUCCAUAAGAAUUGUCUAAAGACUUGUUCAAUACGGUCUAGAACAAUCCUAGGUAGGAAAAACAUACUCGCCUAAUAAACUUGUAUAGAGUGGAGGACCAACCUUAUGAGUUGUAGGCAGCUCGCAAAGGAUAGAAAUCGAUGAGUCCAAAACUGUACUCUAGCUGUAAUGAGGUUUACAAGGGAGACACAAUAUGAUUUACCAAGCUACAUAGAGAUGAUCGGGACCCCUAAGUAUCGAACCGGUAAAGUACCUUCUCGGAAGUCGAGGAUGUGAAAAAUCUGUGAUCGGAGGCUAGCUGGUCCACCCGAGAGAAAAACUUCAGAUUUAUUCAAAUUCAGUUUUAGCCAACUCCAAGAGGAGAAAGUAUCAAUACCAUCCUUAAGAAGCGAAACUGAAGUCAUAUUUGCCUCAUAGAAGAGGAAGACAUCAUCGGCAAAAAACAAAUGAGAUAAGCAAGUUGCUUUACAUCUCCAAUAGAACUUGAACUCCAGUUGGCUGGAUUGGCGAAGAAGGAUCCCCGAAAAAACCUCCAUAACCAAGGUAAAAAGGUAUGGAGAUAUAGGGUCCCGUUGGUGAAGACCACGCCCACUGGAGAAGAAGCCAUGGAGCUCACCAUUGAUGGAUAACGAGAACUUAGGCAUCCGAAUGCAAGUCAUAAUCAACUGAACCAAAUGACUAGGGAAACCUAUCGCGACCAAAAUUUCGGGUGUGAACCACCUAAGGUUUGGCUAAUGGAUUGUUAAGCCUAGACUUAACUCGGGUUCUCCCAAGCCUAUACCAAUUCGCGACUUAGGUUCAAAUUUCUUAACAUGCAAUUGAUUUUCAAUUAGGAGUCGCCACUAAUCUAUUUUUGGUGGGUCGAUUAGGAACCUAAGUAAAGUAACGGGAGAUUCACUUUACUCCUAUGAACUAGAGAUUAUGGGUACGGAGACUUGGUUACACUAGAUUUCUCUAAUGCCCUUUUGGUACCAUUUCUUUUAUUUUCGAAAAUGUUUGUGCGGGUAGCUUGAAUUGAUUUUAAAUCUACUUCCCUAACAUGUGAAGCGAUCAUGCGGGUGUACAAACCACCAAUUUAACACCCAACUAAAGCAAUAAAUAAAUUGUAGGACUUACCUCGUAGCAACGAAAGCAGCUGCGUUGUUAAAUUAAAAUCUACAUCAACAACCCUAGAUAUGGUUUCUAAUUAACACGCAAUUACUCAAUUUUCGUUUUCUCUUUUUCAACGAGAAUAUAGUCCAUAUGCAAUGCAAUGCUUCUAAUCUAAUAUGAAAUGAUAUGGCAUGGCAAUAUGUCCUAAACUAUAUGAAUGAGCAAAAAAAAAAAAAAAUAGUGAUUUCUUAAUGAACAUGCAACAAUUAGAUAUGCAAUCUAAAUUAACCAAAAUGACCUAAUUCUAAUGACGUGCAAUGCAAUGCAAUGACGUACAAAAUUAUUUCAACUAAAAUGACAUGCAACAUGCAAUUUAAUAUGCAAGCUAUAUGUCAUGCGACAUUUAUUAAAUGACCUAAUCUAAUGACGGUUAAUUUUUAAUGAACCUAACAACAGUCACUAUAUGACAUGCAUUUCAUGAACCUAAUUCUAAUUUUUCUUCUUUUUUUCUUUUAUGAAAUUCGAAAUUAAAACUACCAAAUAAUUAAACGUGCAAUUCAAAUUUAAAACUAACAUCCUAAAUGAUUGCAUUUUUUUGGUUUUUAUUUAAGGAAUUCAAAAUAAAUAAAUUUCAUAUUCUAAAUAUGCAAGAUAACAAGAGAUUUUUUAAAACCAACCUAAUCGUAAUUCAAAUAUUUUUUGGAUUUUUCCUUUUAUGAAAAUAAAAUUGAUUCAAACACCACGACAGCAAAUCAAGCAGGAUAAGAUUGAUAUUCAAAAAUUGGUGAACCAUAUCUCGCCCAUGAGAUCGGGUUGACUAAUUUUAAAUUAAAUCGUGAAUUGAAUCCCGGGCAUGAGAUCGGAUUGACGAUUGUGCAAUAGAUUGUGAGUCGGAUUUCGGGCGCGAAAAUCAGACUGUCAAUCACAAAUUUCAGAGGCAAUUUCAUGUCGUGAAUUCUCAUCCUUACACUAAGAAAUAAUUCUACUAAAAAUAAAAAAACAAAAUAAAAUAAAUAGAAAGAAAAACUACCUACUUUGCUUUCCUUUUUUUUUUCUAGGGCUUGGCACGGCUAAGGACGGUACGAUGGUGACUCGGAACUAGGGGCUCGUCGCAAUAGUUGAACGUCGGUCAAAGAGCAGCUUGGCACAGAGACAAGAACCUGCGAUGAUAUCGACCUUGUUGAUAUGGGCGUGACUGGAGCAUAUGGCAAGGUGUCACCGCAAGGCUUGCUGGAGAUUCUGAUUUUACUGCGAGAUCUAAGCAGACCAAGCCAAAAAUCUCCGCUUUGCUUCCUCUCUUUGGGUAUCAAACUCCUUUGUGCAUGCCCUUUGUUGACCUGCAGAGAAAGAAGACAAGAACUCUCUCCAUGUUUUCUUUUACCGAAAGAUUAUGUGCCCUUCUCUUGCCCUGGAUUUUUCCUUCAAACAAAACAAGCAAUAUUAGACAAUAUAUGUGAGGAAAUUUGUGCUCGUCAAUAUUGCUCCAUGCGAUGGUGUUUGCUUGCGAUGACUCAGGGCCAAGAAACUCCGGGAUUCGCUUGGGACGUUGAAUCGUAAUAGUGGGCAAAGUGGCAACGCGUGGCAGCAAAACCCAAACAUGAACAAGGGCGUGCGUGCGUGCAAGGCAUGAAUUUUGAUGGAUGCCUAAAGUUUCAAGAGAUGGGGUUGGUUCAGGAAGACUCCUAGACUCCAAACUGACGUGGUGCUUUUGACCAAGUUCACGUGUUCUUCCUUUGCCAAGAAAUUCUUCAAUUUGUAGCCGUAAAAAUGUGAAUUUCGUGGCUUGCGGCAUGGUGAUCGACAGGUGAGACUAGGGCAGCAGCAUCGUCUAGGUCGAGGACAGUGAUGCUCGGCACAGCAAGGACUGAGAAGCGCUGGGGAUCACUAGAAACCUGCAAAUAAGGAACAAACGACUGGACGGCAACAUGAUCGGAUUGAGGCUUGUCUUUUAGCUAUUCGUGUGUGGUUCCCGCAAUGCUUUUGACGCUGGGCAGAAUUUGGAAAGAUGAAAGACGGCGGCCAGAUCCGAGGUCGCGGCCACCUCCAAUGACCAACGCAAAUUAUUUUCCUUCCAGCCAAUUCCUCUUUUUUUCGAAGCACCCUCACGUCGCUGGCUUUUCUUCUGCCGAUCCCCCCUAAAAAAGUGACAACCCCUCUUGUGCGGCCGUAUAUUCAAUGUGUGGCCUCCCCCACAAUUUACCGUACGUAAAAAUUGUAUCUUAGGGGUAUAUUUCAUUUCUAAUUUUGCUUGAGCACGAUACCCCUAAAUAUAUCGAUAAAAUAUUUUUCGCAUAUUCCAUCAAGAAAAUUCCCCGUUUGUGCAAAAGUGCAUCUCCCAGUGUAUAUUACCUAAAUAUGUGAAAAAUCUUAACGAAAUAUAACAAAAAAUAAAAUUUUCCUAAACUAUAUGCCAUGUGAUUAUGAUUUUUUUAUUUUUUAUAUUUUAUUUAGCAAAACUUAACCCCAAAAAUUUAGGUGGCAACAAAACCAAAAGCUUGGAGAGUUAAAUCCAAAAACACCCAAACAAUGGUAUCAUAUGCCUUCUGAAAAUCCACUUGAAUAGCACACUUUGGCGAGUAUAGGUCAUGGUGAAAACCGCAAAAGAGUUCUUGAGCUAACAAGAUAUUAUCACUAAUACGCCGACCUUUAACAAACGCAAAAUCUUGUAAGUUACUUGUAAAUAAAAAGAAAAAAAAAUUUAUGUUGUCUGCGAUCCGGAAGUACACUACAUGUGUCGAGGGUCCUGUUAAUAGGUGCCCUUAGAGCAUCGGCACAAUGAAGAGUGGGGAAUUACAAAUUUUCAAACACCUUGAAAAAUUGAAGAAUUACCCAUUUUAACAAAGCCGCUCACUUAUUUGAACAAAAAGAAAAAAGAAAAAAACAAAGCUGCUCACUUCAAAUAGAAAAUUUCAUAUCCAAAACAGGGGUCCAAUGGACACUUUCAACAUUUUCCUUGUGUUAGAGAGUGUUCCUAUAACAAACUUUUAGACAACUAUGCAAGGAAAUUAUUAACAGUCGUUCUGAUGCACCGACUUGUUCAAAAAUUCAACCUUUAUGUUGUGAAUACACAUCACGAUAAGCAUUUCUUGGACAUAGUUAACAUGAAUCGAUUUUCAUUUUAAUGAGAGAAUAACAAAAAAAAAAAAAUCAUAACUUAUUGUAAUUGUAUCAAUUCAGUUUUUAAUUUUUUUUUCACCAAUUGAGUUUUAAAACUUUUGUAAUUAUGUCAAUUCAGUCUAUUGAGGCAAUUUUGGCUAGCUGACGCUGAAGUAGAUAAUUUUCAAUAAUAUUUUAUUUUCUUUUAAUUUUUUUAUUAAUUUUUUUCUUUUCCUUUUCCUUUUUUCUCUUUUUCAUUCUUUUUCUUCUUUUCCCAUAGUGGCUGGUGAGGCUUCAGUGAGGGCUUCACGGCCCUCAUGGCCCUCAUUGGCCUCUGUGGGGAAAAAUUGGAAAAAGAGGAAGAGGAGAAAAAAAGAAAAUUAAAAAUUAAAAAUUAAAAAUAAAAAAAAUAAAAUAUUGAAAUAAAAUAAAAUAUUAUUAAAAUAUUAUCUACGUCAACAUUUACCAAACGAUUGGUGUCCACAUUAGUAUUUGCUAUUAGCUGGCCAAAGUUGAUCAGAUGGAUUGAAUUGGCACAAUUAUAAAAAAAUUUAUGACUAAAUUGGCCCAACAAAGUUUAAAAUUGAAUUGUCGCAAUUACAAUAAUUUUAUGAUUUUUUUGAUAAUUUUUUCCUAUUUUAGUUAGGGGAUAAAGAAAAUGCAAGAUCAUCCUUAACUUAUGUUUCUAACCCACCACGAUAAUCACGAAUAAGAGGUGGAAUGAUUUUCUUUUUACGCCAAAGGUUGGCAUCAUUGUUUGGAAUUGAAAUUGAGAUACUCACAGCAACUUUUCACGAAUUCGAGAGAUCCGUAUGCAAAAUUUCCAAUAUUUUUCACUUCUCGCACACUGUUUUCCUAUACAAUCUUUAAUUUCUUAGUGUCAAACUAUUUAUCGUCCAAUAUCCAAUGUCCCUUCAUUUUAACUAAUCCACAACCUGACACCUCCGUAGAGAUGCUCCAACAAAAUUAUCUAGAAGUGCACCUUAACCACGUUAUGACAAAGAAAAAAACAUAUUAUCUUAGGCAUUUGGCCAGUCAAGGGCUAUUUGAUGUAGAAUUAUCAAUGCUCAAAAUAAAUAUUUGCAGGGAUCCUUCCAGACAUGGGUAUGGUAAUUAUUUCUUUUAAGAAAAACAGAACUUGAUAUAUAACCCACCAAAAUAAGACAAAAUAUUAGCUUUCCCUUUUCACAUAAGCGUUCAACGACCUUUAACCUGAAUUGUGAGGGACUUAUCAUUGCCAAUAUAUGUAAUGAAAAUACACCCUACCAUGUCCGCUCGUAACAUAGACCGUAGAGGCGAGCUUACAAGAUUAGAAAUUGAUGGAGCAUUCAAUUUUACCAUAAGAGAAUUCUCUAUGUUGUUAAGACCAUGUGGGCAAUGUUAAAGCAUGUGGAAAAUCCGAAGAUGAGAUUGUGUUCUGAUUGCUUAGAAAUUGAUGCCUAUUACUUACUUUUACCAAAAAAAAGAAAAAAGAAAGUAUACUAUGCCUAUCGAACAGUUAAUUCGACUAAUCAUAAAAUCCCAUUAUUUUUCUUUAGGCUUUUGUGAAAGCGUAUCUUUUAAAACAAAAAGAAUGCCUAAGAAUCUAAUUCAAAAGUACUUUUGCAUAUUAGAAUUGAUCUAGUGUGCAAGAAGUCUUCAAAAUGUUCUUUUCUUUUCUUUUUUCCUUUGUCUCUAUCUCUCUCUCUCUCUCUCUCUUUUUUCUUAUUCCGUAAUGGAAUACAUUAAUUUUUGGAAAAAUAGUCCAAAAAAUCUUAAACCUAGUAUAAUUUUGCCAAUAUAAUCUUAAACCUUUUAAUUGCUUUAAUUGAGUCAAUCUGAUCGAUUUUGACUAGAAAUUGCUAACGACCUUGCUUGGUUUGGGCAAGGUCAUAAGCCCCUCGCUUGUGGCUAGUAAGGCCGUUGCAGCCCUCACUCAUGGCCGACGACGACCUUGCUCAAACCAAGUGAGGAGGGUUGUCACACUUGCCUGUGGCUGGUGACGGUCGACUAAUGAUCUCACUGACUAGAGUCAGAAAAAUAAGGAAGAAAAGAAAAAGAAAAUUCAAAAUAUUAUUAAAAAUUAUUUAUAUCAGCGCCGAUCAUACCAUGUGAUAGACGGGCAUCUACAUCAAUGAUCUCUAGCCAAAUUUGGCCGAAUGUGCUCAAUUGACAAGACAUGAAAAUGUUGAGGACUUAAUAAGUAAAAUUAAAAAUGUUUAGAAUUGAAUUGAUAAAAUAUAAUACUAUGUUUACGAUUUUUUGGAUAGUUAAUAAAAAAAAAAAUUCAAUUACAAGGAUAUGUUAUGUACUACGUACCAUUGCAGCAACACAGAUUAAGAAACAUUGAUAAGAUCUUUUAAUAUUAAUACUCUGUACUCAAUAUUGCAACUUUAAAAUUUUCCUUAAAAAAUCAUUGUUUCUGAAAAAAGGUGGACCACCGGCGGUUCUUAAAAUUAAGGGCACGAAAAUCAUUUGGAUUGUUUCUUUUCUUUUUCCAAUAAAUGGGUUGACCUAUGUAAUCGUGAUUAAAUUAAUUCUUUCAUGAAUUUUAACAAACCAUAUUAUUAUGGAUUAAUACCUUAAAAAAUCCAAAACUAGUACACUUGUGACAAAUUUACCCAAAACUAUUUUUUUGACCAUGAAAAACUCCAAACUGGUACACCCGUGACAAAUUUAUCCCGAUUAACUAUAAAAUACCCUAAACUAGACAAAUUUACCCUCAAACUAAUUUAUUCGACUACAAAAAACCCCAAAUUGGUAAAUUUGCAACUAAUAUAGCCUCCGCUAAAUUGGAUUAAUAUAAAAAAAAUCACAAAAAUUGUAAACUGUGACAAACGGAGCGUAAAAUCUCAAAUUGGUAUAUCAGUCAAUUGUCACAUGUCAUUUAACUUAAUAAUUUAACAUUAAAAUCUGACGAAAAUUAAUAGAGGAAAAAUUUGUUACAAGUGUAUCAGUUUGUGGUAAAUUUAUAAAAGGUAUACCAGUUUGAAGUUUUUGGUGGUCAAAAAAAUAUUUUAAGGUAAAUUUGUCACGUGUACCAGUUUGAGGUUUUUCAAGAUAUUAACUUAUUAUUUAUAUAAAAAAAAGGUUCCGACAACAAAACGUCUUUGUUCACCCCGUCCUAUUUUUCCAUGUAACCUUUACCUUAUGCGCACAUGCCUUAACUUUGCCGCAACCUGAAAUUUCGCUGAGAAAUUGAAUCGCAAAUUCUCCUUCCGUCUAUGAGCUUUUUCUCCGUUGUUUCUGACCGGUGUCCGGGGCAUCAUCGAUCGCCGCCCGUCUUCAAAUUUCUAAAGGCGCAGCAGUUGCUGUGCUCUGCAGCGGCGACCCACCGGCGACGAAUUUCUUGGGAAUUUUCUGGUUCUCAGUUCGAUCGGGGGUGUUCCCGGUCAUGGCAUCUACCAGGUACGAGAGUUGAUUCUCAAUCUGAUAUGAGUAAUCGAGUCUGAGAGAUGUGAUCGAGGCGCAUGUGAAAUUCGUCUCUGGUUAGAGCUUUAUCAGUGUUUCGAAUGUGCAUUGAGCCUGUAGCUAUAACCUGAUAGUGAUUUUUGGCCUUGGACGUGAGGGGAGGUUCAUUACUCGAAGUGCAUGCCGCCACUUAUUCGAUGAAAUGUCUGAGUGAAAUCGGAAUGCAUGUUCUCUGAAGGAAACAAGGGCAAGAAGGCAUGUGUUGAUGUGAUUUGUGUGAGAUACGCAGAUUCUUUAAAUAGUAAACCUGAUUUAGAUGCACAUCGGGGUAGCUGAAAGUCUUACUGAUCCUUUUCCAUUCUGAUUUUCUAUCUCGCUUGUCGGAUUCUGCUUUGAAUUUAGAAUCGUGAGAAACUGGGCAGAGCUCCCACAAGAGUUGUUACAACUAUGCUCCCAGCGCCUUUGUCCGAAGAAUUUAUCGGCAUUCCGAGCAGUGUGCCACUCGUGGCAAUCUGCUGCUGUCGAAGAGAGGAGCGACAUCCCAUGGUUGAUGCUCACGGACAAAGAUGGGAUGCCGUGGCGUGAGUUUUUCUGCCUCUCAUGUCAGCAGGUUCACAAAAAGUUCUUGCCGGAAAUGAUGGCAAAUGGAUAUUUCUCUUCACGAGGUUGGGUGUUGAUGACCAGCAGAGACUGGGAAUUCCGUAUGCUAAAGACUCCCAUGUGGCGUUACUGUCAUAUUAUUGAGCUUCCCAAUUGGAAUAAGUUCCCCGACAUCGAAGCUCUACCUCCCUUUUAUGUUGAAUUGGUCAGUAAGUUUGUCCUAUCUGAUUGCCCUACUACAUCUUCAGAUUACAAGGUCAUGGUCAUCUAUGACGAAGCAUGGUUAGGGCUUUGGAAACCUGGGGAAGAGGAGUGGACCGCAGUGAACUCCCAUGCACUUGGAUUUUACGAUGUCAUAUAUUACAAGGGGUCCUUUGUUGCUGUCGAUCAUGAAAAUAGGAUAUUGAGGUGCGAUGUAGAUGGACCAGCUCCGUUUGAGGCUCAAGUAGUUUUCGAGGUGCCUCGAAGACUCCAAGAAUUCAAGCAUGAGUAUCCCUCAGGAUCCCUUUGGGAAUUGGAUCAAGUGUAUCUAGUGCAAUCAAAGACAGGAUCUCUGUUGUUUGUGUCAAGGGAAAAACUAACAUCUACCAGAACCUUUCGAUUCUGUGUUCUCGAGAUUGACCUGGAUACUCAAACAUGCACAGAAGUUGAGAACUUGGAGAACACAUCCCUCUUCUUGGGCGACAAUUCUUCCUUCUCUUUGGAGGUCGAUGAAGAUCAUCUCGUCAAGCCAAAUUGUAUUUAUUUUACUUACUCUUGUCUCUCAUCGUCCCAGUUUACCGAAGACGGAGGAGACACAGGCAUGGGAAUAUACCACCUCGAAGAUGGUACGGUCGAGCUGCAUGUCAAGGGGAAAUCUUAUCCUCUGCUUUGGAUCGAACCAUGCUUUUAAGCCAUAGCUAAAAAGUUUGGUUUGUUGUCAAUGAUGAAGUGAGCAGAUUAGUGGAAUGACAAGCGAUAGAUACACGGUUAGUCCAAAAAGUUAGCAAUUCAUUUUAAAUGUUUGAAAUUGUUAGGUCAUUGGAAGUAAAAUUGUACUGACAUCUGAAUUUUGCUUUUAAUGCUUCGAAUUUUACACUUAAUAUUGGCGAUAUUUUUGUAUUAGCUGUCUGGGUGUCUGUUCUACACAAAAACAAAAGAGUGAAGGCAAAACAUAGGGUUUGAACUUCGAACAAGGAAAAAGAUGAAGGGUUGAAAAUAAUAUUGAUUCCUUAAGUGGGGUUAACUAUUCUUCCUUUUUUUUAUUCAUUAGGCCUUACAUUAAAUCCACAGACCAAAAAGAAUUCUGCAGUAACCUCUCUCGCAUGAAAGGGGGAUAUUCAACUGUAUUAUCCGAAUCUCUACACUACACAUUUCAAGUGACAUACAUUUUCUAGUAAACAAUGAAAAGCAAAUCAUUAUGGCCAGUGAAAUUAGUAAAUAUCAUGUUGUUAAUAAGGAUCUCGCCAAUCUUGAAUGAUUAAUUGCAAUGUUUAUAUAUUUGAUUCGAUGAACAUUUUGUGAUUCGAUUCUUUUCGUAUAGCUAAGUUCUAGCUAUGAAGUGUAAAUAUCCAAGAAUUUGUUAAGGCUUCCUCCACAAAUUGGAGCUGCAACCACGAACACAUGUUAGGGCGUCUAAGUCGAUUGCCCAGAUUGGCCGUUGGAUGCUUAAGUCGUAGUUUGGAGAUGGUGGAGACUAAUGAAGUUUAGAUAGGCGUAAAGAGUUCUUGCCCGUUGGGUGAGGAUUGACAGAUGAUGACCAAACUAUAAGUUUCGAUCGGUCAUAAUUAAUGGCAACACAUUAUGACAACUAUGAUAUGCGUUGACAUGUGACGGUCAAACCGUCCACAGGGCUAAUAGAUGCUUAGUCUUUUAAUAAUUCCUCCAAAACGAUAGCUUAAGUGGAGGUCUCUUGACUUGGUCUUGACUGAAAAUCCGAGUUGCAUCCUUUCAUCAGGUGGGGUUACUAUGGACACUUGACGGUCUAGUGGCUUGCCAAAUCCAUCAUUAUUAGAAACAAUCGAAAGUCAUUUAUUGAUAGCACUAGAGUGAAGUACCAGAGUCAAAGCAAAAGCAUGGAUGAAUUGGCAACAGCAAAUGCUGUUCAUUAAUAUUGUUAUAGUAAGAAUGGUCAAAUAGUAUCUUAUAUAAAUAAUAACAGCAUAACUUACAAAUUGCUCUCUACCUUAUAUGAGCAUCCGCAAUAGGGGAUGAAACCUGAUCUCUCCACCAGCUAAACUUAUGCGGUCACAAUAGAAACUCGAAAACCCAAAAGCUUCUCCUCUUCAUUGGUCCCGCUUACAAGAAACAUAAACUACACUUACGAAAAUUGCAAUGCAUGCUCUCACAGAUUUUGUCCUUAAACUGAGAUAGUAGGUUAACGCUGGACGCCUCUUUGGUAGACCUAGAAUUUUCUCAAAAAGAAAAGGAGUGCAAAGCAUAUGAGCAUGAGUGUGCUCUCACUUAUUACGCGCUAAUUAUGCAGAAAUAGCUACUCAUGCAUGAGAGUCUUGCAUUUGAUGGAGAGCCUUUGAUCAUUUCGUUGCUGCACCACAAACAUGAGAAUGCACGGGACCUUCCAGUCACCUCUCUCUCAUGGAAGCAACCAAAUUAGGUGUUUACAUAAGGCAAUGUACAUGAAAGUCAACUGCUUUGUCUUAGAUACGUAUUGUCUAAAUCAUUCAUUAGGUAUAGAAUACUCAAUUGUGUCUCUCUAGCACUUGUCUAUCAUCUUUUUCUUAAUAGAACAAAAGGGGGGAAAGUGCAACAGAAUAUAUAUUAUAGAUGUCUUCUGCAAAAUCCCUUCACUUAGCUGACACAUUACAAGGAAGUAACAGAACCAAGGAGCUCACCUAAAAGCAGUACCUCUCAUUCCAUGGCAUGCUCAUUUUAAGCGUGUAACCUUUAUCAAUUGUGUGAAGUACCCAAUCACACCAAUGCCUCCCAAAUCCUGCACAUCAGUGAGGACUAGAAAAAUAAGAUCUUAGUUCUCAAACCAUUGGUAAAAGUGAAGCAACGUUUACACAAGAAGAAUCUUGAAAACGAGUCCUCUUUAUUACUUGCUUCACGAGCGGAUACAAGGCAAACAAAAAAAUGGCUUCAUUGAUAAUUACGAUAAUCACUAAACUGCAGCUAAGGACUUCACUUUCAUGGCACUCACUAGUCACCAUGACAGGUGGGUUAUCCAAAGCGAGUCAAUCAAGCAUCAUAUUUGCAAGGAAUAACAAACCUGUAAACAACACAGCUUGUUUCGGCUUACUAUGGUAGCUAGUUUCUUUUGAAGCCUUUCAACUCGAUCCUGUUGAAAAAGGAAUAAGAAAAGGUAAAGAAAAAGAAGAGUGAGGAAUCGGAAGUCGUCACUGAAUUAUUGCCAAAUCAUAAAUACAGCUUUUACAAGUAAAUUUCAAAUCAGUGUGCCCAUGUCAAUAGAAAAUUGUUAAAGGAGACACUCAUGGUCAUAAAACUAUCAUAUCAUAAUGAUGAAAGAAUGGAAAAAUCUCUAAGAACGUUAACUCAUAUUGUCAAAAGAUGAUCCUUAACAGUAGAAAUACACCCUUUAACUAGAUGUCCACUCAUAGCAUAUACUGUAGAGGAGAGCUUUGCAAAAAUUUGACACUGAUAAACUGACAACAUGAGAAACCAGAGAUAUUCUCUGCUCUAGUUAAACUCAGGAAGUAACGCAUACCUUGAAUGAUUUGGAACGAUGAAUGGAGGUAUCUAUCCGUAAGGAUGUGAAGUAGGACUUCUCAGCUUCAUCAAACUAUUCCAUGCCACGAGAGCAUCGCCUUGACAAAUAUAAGCUGGAGGAAAGAAAGAACAUUUGCUUUAAAAAUAUAACAUGAGCAAAAAUUCUUACCAAUAUAGGAAUCUCUCUUUCCCACUCUAUUGCUGGUCCAAAACCACUGAUGUAAGCAAGUACCGAGGUCUCUAAUACCUAAAACACAAAAUUCGGUGAUCUUAAGGUUAUAUAUUGAUGGAGUAUUGCAUUUUAAAGAAAGAUAAUUCUCCCAUUUCUUGAGAUCAUGGGCAAGGUGCAAUAAUGGUAAAGGUUUUAGAAAAUCUGAAUAAGAGAUUGCGUUCGGAUUGCUCAAGAAGUAGGUCAGACCCUUUACUACUUAACACAAUGUAGAUGUUAAAAUCAGGCACCUGCAGUAAAUUAUGUGAAUCUUGUUACCUAAACAGCACUUGCCCCGUCUCCUUCCCCUUUCCCUCCCUAUCAGUGAAAUCAGAAGGGGCUACAGGUUCAGUUUUUAGAUUUAUUCCUGAGAUCGAGCUUUUGGCGCUUCUUUUGCAUCUUAAAGAGCCCCACUAGAGUUGCCCAUUCCCAACCUCGCAAGAGAUUUAAACAAAGCAUAAACCUCUAAUUGAUAAAUCUUCAAGAACCUAACUAUAGUCGCACAUUUCCAACCUCGCAAUAGAUCUGAACAAAAGUUAAACAUCUAAUUUAUAAAUCUUUAGCAGACCUGAACAAAACUUAAAUCUCUAAUUCAUAAAUCUUCAAGAGUUGCACUAUAGUUGCACCUUCUCACCUUUUCAACAACAGCUUGGUUUAUAUAAUCAAAAUGAAAUGUUAACACGAAUCUCUUAUUCAUCCACAAAGGCGUCACGUUUAGCGCAAACUCGUUCACAUCAUUAGCAGAAUCAACGCCAACACGGUAAAGGGGGUAAAGUCUCGUCUUGGAAUAAUUGUUACGUAGUGGCGACAAACCUAGAAAGUUCACCAUCAAACUGCGUGGGAUGCAGAAAAUGUCUCAACUUUAGAUGAUAGGAAUUGAUGGACCAACCCAUCUUUAUACAUGAUGUGGAUCCCACCGUGUGGCCUCAUUGCUAUAGCCUCCUCAACAAAGGAAUAACCGUCAUGAAUUACCGUUUCUCCAUCUACUACAUAGAAUCAGCUAUGGUCUAUUAAAUUAUUUGAAAAUAGACCAUCAAUGCACUCAUUCUCUAAUCUCUAUCAGCGAACACUUCGAAAUAAGAAAGAGCAACCCAAUUCAACCACCAAUUAACCCACGACACACGACUGUUUCCCUAAUGAUGUGAUUAAUGCUAGCGACUCUCUUGGACAAAACUAAAAGUUCCAACGCCUAUUAUGAAAUGUCACAUUAAACAAUAGUUAUCACUUAGUACUUAUGGCCCCCGAAAAUUUCAAGCUGAUGAGCCCUUACUGUAGGGCCACCAAUAUGCUAACAGCGGAAAAUUUCUCGAUAAAAAGUAUGCAAUAACUAGGUAAUGCAAUGCCAGUUGUUUAGAGGUUUGUCUACAAUGAGAAUCGUAUUGGUGACUUCGUCAAAAAUAGGUGAUUGACUCUCAUGUGAUUUGGCUAGAAGAUACUUAGUCAUCCAAUUAUUUAAUUGAAUCACUGAGAGAAAUUCAAAGAAAAGGAAAACAUUGAAAAAAUACUUUAUCUGAUUUAUAAUACAGUUGCUCAAAUCAUUGUAGUCUCUUUGAAUGGUGGAGUGGAGUUCAUGCAUCUUUUUUGAUGGGGACUGAAUUGAGUUCUUUGGUUGACAUUGAUCUUGUGCACGUUGUCACUGAUUUUCUCAUAUUAAGGGUAAGAUUGCAACUUGAAUCUUAAAAGUUACAUUAAUUAUUAGGCUUGCAUGUUGCGUGGGAUUAAAGCUAAAGUUCGUUAGUAAGAAUAACUUGCAUAUCAAACUUAACAGACGUUGAUAUCAUGGUUUAAAUUUUCAACCAACACGUGUAACAGACAUUAAACCUGUGUCAAUUACUGGAGUUUUGUAGUGAGGAUUUUAUUUCCUUACAAUCAACGAACAUAAGAAUGUUGUAAGUUACUUGAAAAAAAAAACUUUUUUUCUCUAUGGUCUGAAAGUACAUUGCAUGCAUCAUCAAGGGUCUUAUCAAUAGAUGCCCCUAGAGCAUCAGCUUAAUGAAAAGAUGGAACAACAAUUUUCAGGACACCUUGAAAAAUUGAGGAAUUACCCAUUUUAAGAAUGUCACUCACUUAUUUGAAGCCCCCCCCCCCCCCCCCCCCCCCCCCCCCCAAAAAAAAGAGAAGCCACUCACUUUAAAUAGAAAAUUUCAUUUCCAAAAUAAGGGGCCAAUGGACAGUCUUCAACAUUUUUCUUGUAUUAAAGAAUGUUCUAUAAAAAUCGUUAGUCAACCAUGUAAGGAAAUUAUUAACAUUGUCAUUUUUGACGUACCAACUUGUUCAAAAAUGUUAGCUGGGUUUACUCAUAUAUGGAAAAAAACCCAAUGAGUUGCAAGCACAAAAAGGGCUUGAGCCUAUAUGAUAAGUUAUAUGGAGAAAUAGGGUUUUCACUAUCUUUAUAAAGUGGUAGCCGCAAAAGGAAAUAGUAACAAGAGAAAAAGAGAAAGCAGAAAAUCUGGAGGUUGGGGCAUUAGCUGAUUUACAUCAAUCUGGCAUCGGAGGUCGAUUCGUGGUCCGAUUGAGCUGAAAUUUUGUCAGCAUGUUCGUGGUGCAAUUUUCUCGAAUUUGAACGGUUUGAUUUUCAUUUGAAGCUCCAUACAUCAUGUUUUUUUGUGAAUUAAUCAAAACCUGCGUUUUUUGGUCAGAUUUAUCCUUGAUCUCUUGGAAAUUCAUGUGCAUUGCCAAGAAUUAUGUUAUUGAGUUCUUUGCUGCUAUGUACCUCUAGUAUUUGCUAGAGAAGAACAUUGUUCACCCAAUUUUGUUGAUAGUGAAGAUUUUCGGAUGGACUCCGGUCUCGUGGCUUUUUAUCUCCUCACAUCAAGGAGGUUUUCCACGAAAAAAAUUGUCUUGUGUUCGCGUGUUUGGUAUUUAUUUUACUCUACUAUAUCGAUUCCUAUUAGGUUUAUACAAGAUGGAAGAUUAUUUUAUUCCGCUGCGUUGAUUUGAUAUUGUUUGAAUUGUUACUGUUCUCCCAUCAGAGUGGUAUCGGAGCAUCUAGUUAUUGCUUAAUUUUUCUGCCUUGUGUUAAACAAUGGAAACGAAUACGAGUAGAAUGGUUACAUUGAAUGGUUCAAAUUAUCAUAUUUGGAAAGGGAAGAUAGAAGACCUUUUAUAUGUGAAAGAUUUUUAUUUGCCUGUAUUUGCUAAGGAGAAACCAUAGAAUAAAACUGGUACUGAAUGGUCUAUAUUCAGAGGUUUUGUCGCUAGUUAAAAAGGGAGAAAUAAAAGGAGAAAGGUAAAGAGAAGAAAAAUGAUGAUGAUAAUGAUGACAAUCGUGUUGCUGCACUUAAAGAAGACUUUCUUAUUAUUUUUUAUGGUGAUGUGGUGAAUUUUGUAUCUCAUGAGACUAGUUGGGUAAUUGAUAGUGGUGCAUCCGUUCAUGCUACGUCUCGUAGGAAUUUCUUUAUAUCAUACAUGUUAGGUGACUUCGGAUUUGUGAAGAUGGGAAACAAUGGGCUAGCUCAAGCUGUAGGCAUUGGUGAUGUGUGCCUAGAAACCAGCAAUGGCACAAGGUUAGUAUUAAAUAAUGCUAAACAUAUACCUGAUAUUCGCUUGAAUUUGAUUUCUAUAGGCAAAUUGGAUGAUGAGAGGUAUUGCAACACCUUCGGUAAUGGUCAAUGGAAGCUCACCAAAGGUUCUCUUGUUGGGGCUAGAGGUGAAAAAUAUUCUUCGUUGUACAUUAUGUAGGCAAAGUUGUCCACAGACAAAUUUAAUGCAGUAGACAGUGAAGAUGCAGUUGAGUUAUGGCAUAAGAGGCUCAGUCACAUUAGUGAGAAGGGUUUGUCACUAUUGGCCAAAAAGAAGCUCAUUUCAGGAUUGAAAAGUUUGGCGCUAAAGAAAUCUGUUCACUGUUUAGCAGGAAAACAGAAUAGAAUUGUAUUUAAAAGCUCUCCUCCUUCAAGAAAGUCAGGUAUACUGGAUUUAGUGUAUUAUGAUGUUUGCGGUCCUAUGAAAACAAAAUCAUGUGGUAGCUCUCUUUAUUUUGUUACCUUCAUAGAUGAUUUUUCAAGGAAAAUUUGGAUUCAUACCUUGAAAACUAAAGAUCAAGUAUUAGAUGCUUUUAAGCAAUUUCAGACUUCAGUUGAGAGACAAACUGGAAAGAAAUUGAAAUGCAUCAGAACUGAUAACGAGGGAGAGUAUUUUGGACCUUUUGAUGAAUAUUACAGACAACAAGGUGUUCGACAUCAAAAGACACAUCACAAGGCGCCUCAGUUAAAUGGCUUAGCUAAGAGAAUGAACAUAAUACUGGUUGAAAGGGUAAGAUGCUUACUUUCACAGUUAAAGCUACCUGGAUCCUUUUGGGGUGAGGCUUUAAGUACAGUCGUGCAUGUAUUAAAUCUUACUUCAUGCAUUCUUUUAGAGUUUGAUGUUCCUAAUAGAGUUUGAAAGGUAAAGAUGUUUCUUAUGAUUAUUUGCGUGUCUUUGGAUGCAAAGCAUUUGUGCAUAUUCCCAAAGAUGAUAUCUAAACUUAAUAUGAAAACACAACAGUGCAUAUUUAUUGGUUAUGGACAGGAUAUGCUUGGCUACAAAUUUUAUGAUCCGGUUGAAAAGAAAAUUGUAAAAAGCAGAGACGUUGUGUUUAUGGAAGAUCAAACAAUAGAGGAUAUUGAGAAAGCAGAGAUGAUUUCAGCAUGACAAGUUGAUAACUUGGUUGAUUUGGAUCCAAUUCCUCUUACAAAUAUUCCUACAUAGGUUGAUGAAGAGCAGCAGGAAGUCAAUAUUCCAAAUAAUGCACAUAUUCCUGAACAUGUUGAAACAGAUAAUAAUAUUCCUACACUAGAGACUCAAUUAGAUGUUCCACUGGAUGUUCCAGUCCGGAGAUCCAUUAGAGACCGACGACCUUCCACCAAGAAUUUUGAAGAUGAUUAUGUAUUAUUGACUGAUGCGGGUGAACCAGAGUGCUAUGCAAAAGCAAUAGAAAAUGAGUACAAAAGCAAUUGGUUUGAUGUUAUGCGAGAUGAGAUGCAGUCACUUUAUGAUAAUCAUACUUUUGAGUUGGUGAAAUUACCUAAAUGUAAAAGAGUUUUAAAGAACAAGUGGGUAUAUAGGUACUUCACAACCACGAUACAAAGCUAGAUUGGUUAUUAAGGGAUUCAGUCAGAGAAAUAGUAUUGAUUUUGAUGAUAUACUUUCUCCAGUAUUGAAAAUGUCUUCUAUCCGUGUGGUACUAGGUUUGACAGCUAUCCUAGGUUUGGAAAUUGAGCAAAUGGAUGUUAAAACAUCCUUCCUACAUGGCGAUUUGGAGGAAGAGAUAUACAUGAAAAAACUUGAGGGUUUUAAAGUGAAAAGGAAAGAGAAUUAUGUGUACAAAUUGAAAAAAAAAAAGUCUCUAUGACCUAAAACAAGCACUAAGACAGUAAUACAAAAAGUUUGCGUCAGUUAUAAAAUAAUAGGGCUAUAAGAAGACUUUUUCGAAUAACUGUGUGUUUGUCCAAAAAUUUUCUGAUGAUGACUUUAUUAUUCUCUUGCUUUAUGUUGAUGAUAUGCUAAUUGUUGGCAUGAAUGCUUCAAGAAUUGAGUUAUUAAAGAAACAGUUGAGCAAGUCUUUUGCCAUGAAAGACUUGGGCUCAGCGAAGCAGAUUCUUAACAUUAGAAUUACUCGAGACGGAGAUGCUAAGAAGUUGUUUUUGUUGUAAGAGAAAUAUAUCGAGAAGAUACUUCGGAAAUUUUACAUGGACAAGGCUAAAGUGGUUAGUACUCAUCUUGCUGCCCAUUUUAAGUUAAAUAUGAAGCAAAGUCCUACUACUGAUAAAGAGAAGAAAGAUAUGGAAAUUGUUCCAUAUGUCUCAGCUGUAGGAAGCUUAAUGUAUGCGAUGGUAUGUACACGCCUAGACUUGGCGCACGCAGUUGGCAUUGUUAGUCGUUAUUUGUCAAAUUCAGGCAGAGAGCACCGGAAUGCAAUGAAAUGGAUUAUGAGGUAUCUUCGGGGAACUUCAAAUUUGAAACUCAGUUUUGGAACCGAGAAACUUGACUUAGUUGGAUACACAGAUUCCGACUUGGCAAGAGAUAUUGAUACUCGUAAAUCUACUUUUGGUUAUUUGAUUUCUUUUGCGGGUGGAGUUGUGUCAUGGAAGUCAAGAUUGUAGAAGUGUGUUGCACUUUCUACAACCGAAGCUGAAUUUAUUGCAGCGACUAACACUAGUAAAGAGAUGCUAUGAAUGAAGAAGUUCUUAGAAGAACUUGGGUUCAAGCAAAAGAGGUAUGUGCUAUUUUGUGAUAAUCAAAGCGCAAUUCAUCUUGUUAAGAAUUCAUUUUUUCAUUCUAGAUUGAAACAUAUUGAUGUUUGAUAUCAUUGGAUAAUGGAUUUUUUAGAUGAGAAGUUGUUGGAACUUGAGAAAAUUCAUACGGAUCAUAAUGGCUUUGAUAUGAUGACGAAGACUCUACAAAGAGAGAAGCUUGAACAUUGUCAAUUGAUAGCAGGGAUGGUGAAUCCCUCUACAUUGUUGUGAGGGGAGAUUUGUUAGCUGGGUUCACUCCUAUGUGGAAGAAACCCAAUGAAUUGCAAGCCCAAAAAGGGUUUGAGCUCAUAUGAUAAGUUAUAUGGAGAAAUAUGGUUUUUCGCUAUCUUUAUAAAGUGGUAGCCGCAAAAGAAAAUAGUAACAAGAGAAAAAGAGAAAGCAGAAAAUCUAGGUAUUGGGACAACAUCUGAUUUACAUCAAGUUGGCAUCGGAGGUCGAUUCGUGGUCUGAUUGAGCUGAAAUUUUGUUAGCGUGUUCGUAGCGCAAUUUUCUCGAAUCUAAACGGUUUGAUUUUUGUUUGAAGCUCUGUACAUAAGGUUUUUCAUGGAUUGAUUAAAACUUGCGUUUUUGGUCAGAUUUAUCCUUGAUCUCUUGUGAAAUUCAUGUGUAUUGCUAAGAAUUAUGUUCUUGAAAUCUUUUCUGCUAUGUACCUCUAGUAUUUGCUAGAGAAGAACAUUGUUCACCCAAUUUUGUUGAUAGUGAAGAUUUUUGGAUGGACUCAAAUCCCGUAGUUUUUUAUCUCCUCACAUUGAGGAGAUUUUUCACGUAAAAAAAUCGUUUUGUGUUCGCGUGUUUAGUAUUUAUUUUACUUUACUAUAUCGAUUCUUAUUAGAUUUACACAAGAUGGGAGAUUAUUUUAUUCCGCUGCGUUGAUUCGAUAUUGUUCGAAUUGUUACCGUUCUUCCAUUAGAAAAUUCAACCUUUAUGUUGUGAAUACACAUAACGAGAAGCGUCUCUAGGACAUAGUUAACAUGAACCGAUAUUCAUUUUAAUAGGAGAAUUACUAAAAAAGUUAUAAUCUAUUGUAAUUGUGUUAAUUCAGUCAUAUGUUUUUUUGCCAAUUCAAUCCUAAAACUUUUAUAAUUAUGACAAUUCAGUCCAUCCUAUCAAUUUUGACCAACUGACGCUAACGUGGAUAAUUUUUAAUAAUAUUUUAUUUUCUUCAAAUUUUUUAUUAAUUUAUUAAUUUUCCUUUUCUUUUUUCUCUUCUUCCUUCUUUUGCUUCUUUUCCUAUGGUGGCUAGUGAGGGUUCAACAAGGGCUUCACGGCCCUUGCAGGCCACCGUGGGAGAAAAAAUGGAAGAUAAGGAAGAGGAGAAAAAAAAGAACAGAAAAAAGAAAAUAAUUAAUAAUUAAUAAAAUUUUUGGUCAAAAUUAAUAAAAUAAAAUUUAUUCAAAAAUAAAAUAUGAUAAACAAAUUUUCUAGGUCUACGUUGAUUGAGCGAUCAGCAUCCGCGUUAGCAUAAGCUACAGGCAGACCAAAAUUGACUGGAUGGAUUGAAUUGACACUAUUGUAAAAUGUUGAUGACUAAGUUGGUAAAAAAAAAGAAAUUUAUGAUUGCAUUAACACAAUUAUAAUAAGUUUAUGAUUUUUUAAUAAUUUUCUCCUAUUUAAUUAGGGGAUAAAAAAGAGGCAAGAUCAUCCUUAAUUUAUGUUUCUAACCCUCCACGAUAAUCACAAAUAAGAGGUGGAAUAAUAUUUAUUUUGCGGCAAAGGUUAGCAUCAUUGUUUGGAAUUGAAAUUGAGAUACUCAAGGCGACUUUUCACGAAUUGGAGAGAUCCAUAUGCAAAUUUUCCACAUAUUUUUCUCCUCUCGCGCACAAUUUUCCUUUGCAAUCUUCUUCUUUUGAUUUCUUAGUGUCAAACUACAUAUUGUCCAAUAUCCUAUGUCACUUCAUUUUAACUAAUACACAACACGACACCUCCAUAGACAUGCUCGAACAAAAUUAUCUAGAAAUGCACCUUAACCACAUAAUGACAAUGGAAAAACAUAUUUUCUUAGACAUUUAGUUAGUUAAGGGUUAUUCGAUGUAGAAUUAUCAAUGCUCAAACUAAAUAUUGGCGUGGAUCCUUUCAGACAUGCUUACUGUAAUUAUAUAUCUUUUAAGAAAAAUAGAGCUUCAUAAAACCCACCAAAAUAAGACAAAAAUUAAGUUUUCCCCUUUUACGUUAGUGUUCAACGGCCUUUAAUUUUGUAAAAGCGUAUCUUUAACAAAAGAGAAUUCCUGGGAAUCUAAAUUCAAAAGUACUUUAUAGAUUAGAAUCAAUCUAGUGUGCAAGAAGAUUCGAAAAUGCUCUCUUUUUUUUUCUCUUUUUUCUUUUUUUCAAAGUGGAAAAUAUUGUGUUUUUGGGAAAAUUGUCCAAAAAGUACUAAAUCAAUUGCAAUUAUACCAAUUGAGUCUUGAAUCUUAUAAUUUUAAACAUUUUCAUGUUUAAUCAAUUGAGUCUAUCUGAUUGAUUUUGGUCGAAAAUCAUUGACGAUUGCUAGGGACCCUUGCUUGGUUUGGGUGAGGCCAUGAACCCCUCGCUUAGGGGUGUGGCUAGUGAGAGUGUCACAAUCCUCGCCCAAACCAAGUGGGGGUUGCUGAUCCUCACUUGUGACUAGUGAUGGUUAGCUGGCGAACUCAUUGGCCAGAGUUGGAAAAACAAGGAAGAAAAGAAAACAAUAAAGGAAAAAUAAUAAGUAAAAUAAAAAUUGAAAAUACAAAAAAUGUUUAAAAUAUUAUUACAAAUUAUCUAUAUUAACGCCAAUUGUGCCAUAUAAGAUAGACAACAUCCAUAUUAGCGAUUUUUAGCUAAAUUUGGCUGAAUAGAUUCAAUUGGCAAGAUUAAAAAAUUCAGAACUAAAUUGACAAUAGUGUAAUACUACAUUUAUGAUUUUUUGGACAGUUAAUAAAGAAAAUUCAAUUACAAGGAUAUAUUAUGUACUCCGUACCAUUGCAGCAACACAAAUUAAGAAAAAUUAAUAAGAUCUUCUAAUUUUAAUUCUCCGUACUCGAUAUUGCAACUUUAAAAUUUUCCUAAAUCAAAUCUUGCCACCAUACAACUAACGAUGGCCAAGUUUACUUUACAGUUAUUAGGAAAUAAGAAAAAGAACUUGCUCCGAAUCAAUUCAUACACCGCCCCGUCUAUAAGAGAUAAACCCAUUUGAAACUUUCCCAUAGUUAUUUCCAAAAAAUAAAUAAAAAUUUUCCUUAAAAAGUCAUCGUUUUUGAAAAAAGGCGGACCACCGGCAAUUCUUAAUCAACACCAAAAAAAUUUGGAUCCUUUCUUUCCUUUUUCCAAUAAAUGUGCCAACCUAUUUAAUCAUGAUAAAAUUAAUCCCUUCAUGAAUUUUAAAAAACCUUAUUAUUUCAAAAAAACAAGUUCCGAAAACAAAACGUCUUUGUUCAACCCGUCUUUUUUUUCCAUGCAACCUUUACCUUAUGCGCACAUGCGUUUAUAACUUUUCCGACCCAUGAAAUUUUCCCGACGAAUUGAAUCCGAAUUUUGUGAUAUGUGCAAAAAUAAAUAAAUCAAUCAAUGGGGCAAUUAAAAAAAAUGAUGGGCGGAUAAUAAAUAACCACCGUAGAAAAGGCCUCAAUCUGAUUGGGCCUGUUCCGUUCAUCCAGAUUACUGUGGCCGAAGCCCAUAGAUGUUAAUCUAAUUUGGCCCAUUCUGUUUGGGCUCCAAACUGAGCCCAUCAGUUCGGCCAGUAAAAUAAGUGGAACCCAUCAUCCAUCCCCUUGUUGUUUCACACUCUGUGGAACGACAGACGAACACCCAAGGGAAGGGACGACGCCCGCGACGACGGCCUUCCACCGUUUGUACACAUCCGUCAAAGAAGCGAGAGCCUAAAAAAUCUUCUGGAUCGCGAAUUCUCCUUCCGCAUUCGCGCUUUUCCUCCGUUGUUUCCGAAGGGUGUCCGGGGCAUCAUCGAUCACCGCCCGUCUUCAAGUUUCUAAAGGCGCAGCAGUUGCUGUGCUCUGCAGCGUCGACCCACCGGCGACGAAUUUCUUGGGAAUUCCGGUUCUCAGUUCGAUCGGGGGUGUUCCUGGUCAUGGCAUCUACCAGGUACGAGAGUUGAUUCUCAAUCUAAUAUGGGUAAUCGAGUCUGAGAAAUGUGGUCGAGGCCCAUGUGAAAUUCGUCUCUGGUUAAAGCUUCAUCAGUGUUUCGAAUGUGCAUUGAGCCUGUAGCGAUGACCUGAUAGUGAUUCUUGGCCUUUUACGUGAGCGGAAGUUCAUUACUCGAAGUGCGUGCCACUUAUUCGAUGAAAUGUCUGAGAGAAAUCGGAAUGCACGUUCUCUGAAGGAAACGAGUGCAAGAAGG
This 38654-nucleotide long non-coding RNA is filed under the name Eucalyptus grandis. Its description in RNAcentral is "long non-coding RNA (EGRA_LNC005009)". Lineage: Eukaryota; Viridiplantae; Streptophyta; Magnoliopsida; Myrtales; Myrtaceae. The record is from RNAcentral.